AUUCUUGCUUCGACAGAACAUAUACUAAAAUUGGAACGAUACAGAGAAGAUUAGCAUGGCCCAUCUUUAAUGCGGCAUCGAUUCAACUAUGGAUUGACGACUUAAUG
Anastrepha obliqua is the source of this 107-nucleotide small nuclear RNA. NCBI's taxonomy places the organism in Eukaryota, Metazoa, Arthropoda, Insecta, Diptera, Tephritidae. The record is from RefSeq and is a predicted model, not a curated record.